AACGCUAGCUACAGGCUUAACACAUGCAAGUCGAGGGGCAGCAUGGUCUUAGCUUGCUAAGGCCGAUGGCGACCGGCGCACGGGUGAGUAACACGUAUCCAACCUGCCGUCUACUCCUGGACAGCCUUCUGAAAGGAAGAUUAAUACAAGAUGGCAUCAUGAGUCCGCAUGUUCACAUGAUUAAAGGUAUUCCGGUAGACGAUGGGGAUGCGUUCCAUUAGAUAGUAGGCGGGGUAACGGCCCACCUAGUCUUCGAUGGAUAGGGGUUCUGAGAGGAAGGUCCCCCACAUUGGAACUGAGACACGGUCCAAACUCCUACGGGAGGCAGCAGUGAGGAAUAUUGGUCAAUGGGCGAGAGCCUGAACCAGCCAAGUAGCGUGAAGGAUGACUGCCCUAUGGGUUGUAAACUUCUUUUAUAAAGGAAUAAAGUCGGGUAUGGAUACCCGUUUGCAUGUACUUUAUGAAUAAGGAUCGGCUAACUCCGUGCCAGCAGCCGCGGUAAUACGGAGGAUCCGAGCGUUAUCCGGAUUUAUUGGGUUUAAAGGGAGCGUAGAUGGAUGUUUAAGUCAGUUGUGAAAGUUUGCGGCUCAACCGUAAAAUUGCAGUUGAUACUGGAUAUCUUGAGUGCAGUUGAGGCAGGCGGAAUUCGUGGUGUAGCGGUGAAAUGCUUAGAUAUCACGAAGAACUCCGAUUG
RNAcentral lists this ribosomal RNA (694 nucleotides) under uncultured bacterium. RNAcentral describes it as "bacterial SSU rRNA". It matches the Rfam family "Bacterial small subunit ribosomal RNA", at positions 32 to 715 of the family's 1533-position model. The record is from RNAcentral.